GGGGCGCAGCCUGAUGCAGCCAUGCCGCGUGUAUGAAGAAGGCCUUAGGGUUGUAAAGUACUUUCAGUCGGGAGGAAGGCGUUGAUGCUAAUAUCAUCAACGAUUGACGUUACCGACAGAAGAAGCACCGGCUAACUCCGUGCCAGCAGCCGCGGUAAUACGGAGGGUGCAAGCGUUAAUCGGAAUUACUGGGCGUAAAGCGCACGCAGGCGGUUGAUUAAGUUAGAUGUGAAAUCCCCGGGCUUAACCUGGGAAUGGCAUCUAAGACUGGUCAGCUAGAGUCUUGUAGAGGGGGGUAGAAUUCCAUGUGUAGCGGUGAAAUGCGUAGAGAUGUGGAGGAAUACCGGUGGCGAAGGCGGCCCCCUGGACAAAGACUGACGCUCAGGUGCGAAAGCGUGGGGAGCAAACAGGAUUAAAUACCCUGGUAGUCCACGCUGUAAACGAUGUCGAUUUGAAGGUUGUUCCCUUGAGGAGUGGCUUUCGGAGCUAACGCGUUAAAUCGACCGCCUGGGGAGUACGGCCGCAAGGUUAAAACUCAAAUGAAUUGACGGGGGCCCGCACAAGCGGUGGAGCAUGUGGUUUAAUUCGAUGCAACGCGAAGAACCUUACCUACUCUUGACAUCCAGAGAACUUAGCAGAGAUGCUUUGGUGCCUUCGGGAACUCUGAUACAGGUGCUGCAUGGCUGUCGUCAGCUCGUGUUGUGAAAUGUUGGGUUAAGUCCCGCAACGAGCGCAACCCUUAUCCUUUGUUGCCAGCGAUUCGGUCGGGAACUCAAAGGAGACUGCCGGUGAUAAACCGGAGGACGUGGGGAUGACGUCCAGCCAUCAUGGCCCUUA
Molecule: ribosomal RNA, 837 nt
Filed under: Providencia vermicola
Lineage: Bacteria; Pseudomonadati; Pseudomonadota; Gammaproteobacteria; Enterobacterales; Morganellaceae
Description: bacterial SSU rRNA
Rfam family: Bacterial small subunit ribosomal RNA
Source: RNAcentral